GACGAACGCUGGCGGCGUGCCUAAUACAUGCAAGUAGAACGCUGAAGGAGGAGCUUGCUCUUCUGGAUGAGUUGCGAACGGGUGAGUAACGCGUAGGUAACCUGCCUGGUAGCGGGGGAUAACUAUUGGAAACGAUAGCUAAUACCGCAUAACAGUAGAUGUUGCAUGACAUUUACUUAAAAGGUGCAAUUGCAUCACUACCAGAUGGACCUGCGUUGUAUUAGCUAGUUGGUGGGGUAACGGCUCACCAAGGCGACGUUACAUAGCCGACCUGAGAGGGUGAUCGGCCACACUGGGACUGAGACACGGCCCAGACUCCUACGGGAGGCAGCAGUAGGGAAUCUUCGGCAAUGGACGGAAGUCUGACCGAGCAACGCCGCGUGAGUGAAGAAGGGUUUCGGAUCGUAAAGCUCUGUUGUAAGAGAAGAACGAGUGUGAGAGUGGAAAGUUCACACUGUGACGGUAUCUUACCAGAAAGGGACGGCUAACUACGUG
This 495-nucleotide ribosomal RNA is filed under the name uncultured bacterium. RNAcentral describes it as "partial 16S ribosomal RNA". It matches the Rfam family "Bacterial small subunit ribosomal RNA", at positions 28 to 507 of the family's 1533-position model. The record is from RNAcentral.